GAUGAACGCUGGCGGCGUGCCUAAUACAUGCAAGUCGAGCGAACAGACGAGGAGCUUGCUCCUCUGACGUUAGCGGCGGACGGGUGAGUAACACGUGGAUAACCUACCUAUAAGACUGGGAUAACUUCGGGAAACCGGAGCUAAUACCGGAUAAUAUAUUGAACCGCAUGGUUCAAUAGUGAAAGACGGUUUUGCUGUCACUUAUAGAUGGAUCCGCGCUGCAUUAGCUAGUUGGUAAGGUAACGGCUUACCAAGGCAACGAUGCGUAGCCGACCUGAGAGGGUGAUCGGCCACACUGGAACGGAGACACGGUCCAGACUCCUACGGGAGGCAGCAGUAGGGAAUCUUCCGCAAUGGGCGAAAGCUUGACGGAGCAACGCCGCGUGAGUGAUGAAGGUCUUCGGAUCGUAAAACUCUGUUAUUAGGGAAGAACAAAUGUGUAAGUAACUAUGCACGUCUUGACGGUACCUAAUCAGAAAGCCACGGCUAACUACGUG
RNAcentral lists this ribosomal RNA (497 nucleotides) under uncultured bacterium. RNAcentral's name for it is "partial 16S ribosomal RNA". It matches the Rfam family "Bacterial small subunit ribosomal RNA", at positions 28 to 507 of the family's 1533-position model. The record is from RNAcentral.